Long non-coding RNA from Oryctolagus cuniculus (rabbit), 1948 nucleotides. Lineage: Eukaryota; Metazoa; Chordata; Mammalia; Lagomorpha; Leporidae. The record is from Ensembl.
AAGUGUGUGUCCAGCUGUGGGCAAGUGCUGUGUGUGGGGAGAAGUGUGUGUUCCCCAGAUGUGGACAGGUGUGUGUGUGUGGGGAGAAGUGUGUGUCCAGCUGUGGGAAGGUGCUGUGUGUGGGGAGACGUGUGUGUCCAGCUGUGGACAGAUGUGUGAGUGGGGAGAAGUGUGUGUGUCCAGCUGUGGACAGGUGCUUUGUGUGGAGAGAAGUGUGUGUCCAGCUGUGGACAGGUGUGUGUGUGGGGAGACGUGUAGGUGUCCAGCUGUGGGCGGGUGCUGUAUGUGGGAUGACGUGUGUGUGUGGGGAGACGUGUAGGUGUCCAGCUGUGGGCGGGUGCUGUAUGUGGGAUGACGUGUGUGUUCAGCUGUGGACAGGUGUGGGGAGAAUUGUGUGUCCAGCUGUACACAGGUGUGCGUGUGGGGAGAAGUGUGUGUUCCCCUGCUGUGGGCAGAUGCUGAGUGUGGGGAGAAGUGUGUGUCCAGCUGUGGACAGGUGUGUGUGGGGAGAAGUUUGUGUCCAGCUGUGGACAUGUGGUGUGUGUGGGGAGAAGUGUGUGUUCCCCUGCUGUGGGCAGAUGCUGAGUGUGGGGAGAAGUGUGUGUCCAGCUGUGGACAGGUGUGUGUGGGGAGAAGUUUGUGUCCAGCUGUGGACGUGUGGUGUGUGUGGGGAGAAGUGUGUGUUCCCCAGCUGUGGACAGGUGCUGUGUGUGGAGAGAAGUGUGUGUCCAGCUGUGGACAGGUGCUGUGUGGGGAGAAGUGUGUGUUCCCCAGCUGUGGAUAGGUGUGUGUGAGUGGGGAGAAGUGUGUGUGUCCAGCUGUGGACAGGUGCUGUGUGUGGGCAGACGUGUGUGUCCAGCUGUGGGCAGGUAUGUGUGUGGGGAGAAGUGUGUGUCCAGCUGUGGACAAGUGCUGUGUGUGGGGAGAAGUGUGUGUUCCCCAGCUGUGGACAGGUGCUGUGUGUGGGCAGACGUGUGUGUCCAGCUGUGGGUAGGUGUGUGUGUUUAUUGUCUCGUAGCAGUGUGGCCAGCUACUCAUGUUUGGUAUCCACUAGUGUAGCAUUGUUUUCAUUCCUUCAGAUUCAGUGCCUGUGUGUCCUUACAGGUCAGCAUGAAGCGAGUUAUUUUUCUCAUCUGUUCAGGGACUGAAUUGUGUGACCCACUGCAUUUGGAUUCAAGGUAACCAGAGGUCAGGAAGGACUUACGUGCCGGCUGCUGUUUGUGUUCUGGAUGUAGACGUUUUUCCUCCUCUUUUCCUUUGUGGUUGAGGCCUUUCUCUGGAGUGUGGUUGACCCCUUGCCUUUUAUUUGUAGUGUCCGUAUCACGAUUUGUUGCUUUGUGGUCGCCAUGGGACUCACACAAGCACCAUACGGUUAUAAAGUGACUCUCGCAGAUGUAACUUGCCUUUGAUCACAAAGGACAGACACACAGUGAAACUCAGUGUUGCAGCUCCAUUUCCCCUCAAUGUUGACUUUUUAUGUCGCAAUUUCCUUUUUAUAUUGCCUCGCCCUUGACAAGUGUCGCAGUUAUAAUCCCUUUUAUACUUCUGUAUCUUAGCCUUCUCAUUAAGGAUAUAAGUGGGUUACACUUCACAGUUAUUUGUGGGGUGGCACUGUGGGAUAGUGGGUAAAGCCGCUGCCUGCAGUACCGGCAUCCCAUCUGAGCCUCCCAGGUUUGACUCCUGGCUGCUCCACUUCUGAUCCAGCUCCCUGCUAAUGUGCCCGGGGUAAGCAGCAGAGGAUGGCCCAGUGCCUGGGGCCCUGGUACCCACAUGGCAGACCUGGAGGAAGCUCCUGGCUCCUGCUUUUGGCCUGGUCCAUAUCCGGCCAUUGUGGCUGUUUGGGGAGUGAACCAGUGGACAGAAGAUCUCUUGGUGUCUGUCUGUCUGUCUCUUUCUGUAACUCUGCCUUCCAAAUAAAUAAAUCUUGAAACAUUUUAUUUCUUAGUUU